Molecule: ribosomal RNA, 1377 nt
Filed under: Triticum aestivum (bread wheat)
Lineage: Eukaryota; Viridiplantae; Streptophyta; Magnoliopsida; Poales; Poaceae
Description: partial small subunit ribosomal RNA
Source: RNAcentral
AUGGUGGAGUUGGUAGCCACCAUGGCGAUCCGUCCACUGGUGUCCUUGCUGAUGAACAAAGCGUCCAACUCCCUACUGGACCAGUACAAGGUGAUGGAGGGAAUGGAGGAGCAGCAUAGGAUUCUCAAAAGCAAGCUUCCGGCCAUCCUUGACGUCAUCACUGAUGCUGAGGAGCAGGCAACGACACACAGAGAAGGUGCGAAAGCCUGGCUCCAGGAGCUCAAGACAGUAGCUUAUAAGGCAAAUGAAGUCUUCGACGAAUUCAAGUAUGAAGCACUCCGCCGUGAAGCCAAGAAGAAUGGUUACUACACCAAGCUUGGCUUUGAUGUUAUAAAAAUCUUCCCUACUAACAAUCGUAUUGUGUUCCGUUACAAAAUGAGUCGCAAACUUUGUAGGAUUCUGCAGGCCAUUGAGGUACUCAUAGUAGAGAUGCAAGUCUUUGGGUUCAAGUACCAACAACAGCCACCGGUCUCCAAACAGUGGAGGCAAACGGAUUAUGUUAUCAUCGACCCACAAGAAAUUGCGAGCAUAUCUAGAAGCAAAGAUAUGAAGAAUAUUGUCGAUAUACUACUUGGUCAAUCUACCAAUGCAGAUCUCACUAUUGUUCCCAUUGUUGGAAUGGGUGGCCUUGGCAAAACGACAUUAGCACAACUCAUAUACAAUGAACCUGAAAUUCAGAAGCAUUUCCAGUUGCAACUUUGGGUCUGUGUCUCUGAUACAUUUGACGCGAACUCCCUGGCUAAGAGUAUAGUUGAAGCAUCUCCCAAGAAAAAUGAUGAUACAGAUAAACCACCACUGGAUAGACUUCAAAAAUUGGUUAGUGGGCAGAGGUUUCUUCUUGUACUGGAUGGUGUCUGGAACAGAGAGGUCUAUAAGUGGGAAAGGCUGAAGGUAUGUCUUCAACAUGGUGGCAAGGGUAGUGUAGUGCUAACAACAACUCGUGAUAAACCAGUAGCUGAAAUUAUGGGUGCAGGAAGAGCCUACAAUCUCAAUAUGUUGGAGGAUUGCUUCGUAAAGGAAAUUAUUGAGGCUAGAGCAUUCAGUUCAAAGAAAGAAAAGCCUGUCGAGCUAAGCAAGAUGGUUGAUGAGAUUGUAAGCAGAUGUUCUGGCUCUCCUUUGGCUGCAACUGCACUAGGCUCUGUACUUCAUACUAAGACCAGCGUGGAAGAAUGGAAGGCUAUAUCAUCUCGAAGCUGCAUUUGCACAGAAGAAACUGGAAUUUUGCCAAUAUUAAAGCUUAGCUACAACGACUUGCCAUCACACAUAAAGCAAUGCUUUGCCUUUUGUGCAAUAUUUCCCAAGGAUUACAAGAUUGACGUGGACAAGCUGAUCCGACUAUGGAUUGCAAAUGGCUUUAUCCCAGAACACAAGCAAGAU